GAUGAACGCUGGCGGCGUGCCUGAUACAUGCAAGUCGAGCGGACAGACGAGGCGCUUGCUCCUCGCACGUUAGCGGACGGGGGAGUAACCCGGGGAUAACCCAGCUCUAAGACUGGGAUAAAUUCGGGAAACCGGGGCUAAUACCCGGUAAUAUAUUGAACCUCCUGGUUCAGUAGUGAAAGACGGUUUUGCUGUCACUUAGAGAUGGGUCUGGGCCGCAUUAGCUUGUUGGUAAGGUAACGGCUUACCAAGGCAAGGAGGCGUAGACGAACGGAGAGGGGGAUCGGCGGCAUGGGAGCGGAAACAGGGACCAGGCGCCUACGGUAGGCAGCAGUAGGGAAUCUGACGCAGUGGGCGAAAGCCUGACGGAGCAACGCCGCGCGAGUGAUGACGGCCCUCGGAGCGUAAAGCUCUGUUAUGAGGGAAGAACAACUGUGGAAGUAACUAUGCAGGUCGUGACGGUACCUAAUCAGAAAGCCCCGGCUAACUACGUG
This 494-nucleotide ribosomal RNA is filed under the name uncultured bacterium. RNAcentral's name for it is "partial 16S ribosomal RNA". It matches the Rfam family "Bacterial small subunit ribosomal RNA", at positions 28 to 507 of the family's 1533-position model. The record is from RNAcentral.